UUCUUAUUUUGUCUUCCAUUAUGGGGCCUUGGGGGAACAGUCAGUGUUUGGUUGAACGCUGACUACAAAAAGGUUCCAGCAUGUUAGCAGGGCAGUGUGUUCCCUAAAGAACGCUUCGUCAUCAACACGAGAAGUAAAUAUUUCCGGUUUCAUGAUCACGUGAGAGGGUUUUGUAAAAUGUAAUCAUCCCCCUCAUGAAGGGAUUUAGUUACAGUCUUACUACGGAAUGGUACUAUUAUGGUUGGCUGUUGAAUGCAGUAAUUUGGCAGAUUAAAAUGUUCCAUUUGUUGUGACACCCCCAAUUGAUUCAUUGAUACAUAAUGUUUACAUUUACUUCCCGGAAAAAGAAGAUAUGUGAUUAAAAAACUGUGUCGAAAAUUAUUCCUAAUGUUUAGAUAUUUACAAAUAUAUCAAGAAAAACUUCUGUAUGGAUUUUGAUUAUUGCUUCUUUUUUUACUGAAAUUAUGUUUCUUUGAUAAUAAAAAUGC
Parasteatoda tepidariorum (common house spider) is the source of this 488-nucleotide long non-coding RNA. NCBI's taxonomy places the organism in Eukaryota, Metazoa, Arthropoda, Arachnida, Araneae, Theridiidae. The record is from RefSeq and is a predicted model, not a curated record.